GCCCGCGACGGUGCGGCCCGGGGUGGCCGGGCCGCACCUCUCACGCGCUGGGGCCGAACGACUCCAGGGCGAUCCGCUGGAUCGUCUCCUGCUGCGGCCA
RNAcentral lists this transfer RNA (100 nucleotides) under Streptomyces noursei. RNAcentral's name for it is "tRNA-Glu". Lineage: Bacteria; Bacillati; Actinomycetota; Actinomycetes; Kitasatosporales; Streptomycetaceae. The record is from RNAcentral.